RNAcentral lists this transfer RNA (64 nucleotides) under Bos taurus (domestic cattle). It matches the Rfam family "tRNA", at positions 5 to 66 of the family's 71-position model. Rfam says of the family: Transfer RNA (tRNA) molecules are approximately 80 nucleotides in length. Their secondary structure includes four short double-helical elements and three loops (D, anti-codon, and T loops). Further hydrogen bonds mediate the characteristic L-shaped molecular structure. tRNAs have two regions of fundamental functional importance: the anti-codon, which is responsible for specific mRNA codon recognition, and the 3' end, to which the tRNAs corresponding amino acid is attached (by aminoacyl-tRNA synthetases). tRNAs cope with the degeneracy of the genetic code in two manners: having more than one tRNA (with a specific anti-codon) for a particular amino acid; and 'wobble' base-pairing, i.e. permitting non-standard base-pairing at the 3rd anti-codon position. The record is from Rfam by way of RNAcentral. Lineage: Eukaryota; Metazoa; Chordata; Mammalia; Artiodactyla; Bovidae. RNAcentral also lists the same sequence under 4 other names.
UGGUUGUCCAGUGGAUAAGACACUGCACUCCCAAUGCUGGGGGCCCAGGUUCAAUCCCUGGUCA